UAGCUCAGCUGGUUGAGCGUAGCGCUAACAACACUAAGGUCGCGGGUUCAAUUCCUGU
Molecule: transfer RNA, 58 nt
Filed under: Apaloderma vittatum (bar-tailed trogon)
Lineage: Eukaryota; Metazoa; Chordata; Aves; Trogoniformes; Trogonidae
Rfam family: tRNA
About the family: Transfer RNA (tRNA) molecules are approximately 80 nucleotides in length. Their secondary structure includes four short double-helical elements and three loops (D, anti-codon, and T loops).
Source: Rfam by way of RNAcentral